UACGUAGGUGGCAAGCGUUGUCCGGAAUUAUUGGGCGUAAAGCGCGCGCAGGCGGCCUCUUAAGUCUGAUGUGAAAGCCCCCGGCUCAACCGGGGAGGGCCAUUGGAAACUGGGAGGCUUGAGUAUAGGAGAGAAGAGUGGAAUUCCACGUGUAGCGGUGAAAUGCGUAGAGAUGUGGAGGAACACCAGUGGCGAAGGCGACUCUUUGGCCUAUAACUGACGCUGAGGCGCGAAAGCGUGGGAGCAAACAG
This 251-nucleotide ribosomal RNA is filed under the name uncultured bacterium. RNAcentral's name for it is "partial 16S ribosomal RNA". It matches the Rfam family "Bacterial small subunit ribosomal RNA", at positions 524 to 775 of the family's 1533-position model. The record is from RNAcentral.